Helianthus annuus (common sunflower) is the source of this 1780-nucleotide long non-coding RNA. RefSeq lists it as uncharacterized. Lineage: Eukaryota; Viridiplantae; Streptophyta; Magnoliopsida; Asterales; Asteraceae. The record is from RefSeq and is a predicted model, not a curated record. The transcript is spliced from 8 exons.
AACACAGAAAACGACGGCGGUUCGAUCCCUCUUUUCCUCUUCCCUUUUUGGAUGCCACGAUGCCUAUCAAGACACAUCUCUCCACCCAAUUUCAUCUUUAGAAACCCUAACGGCUUUCAGAGAGAGCGAGAGACGGCAGGUGGUACGGCACCACCACCGGAAACACCGCCAUCAUCUCCAAUCGCACCAGCACAGCUAAUUAUGUGUCGUUCCAUCGUCUUCUUCGUGCUAUGCUCUUUCUCUGUUUCUACUUUUCAUGUUCAGGGUUCCAGCGAACUUAUUCAAGGUGUAUGUAUGUAAUCUGAGUAGAUCAGUCUUUACCUACGGCAACUGAGAGACACUAGGAUGGUUCUUCUGAAUUCCGGCAACCUUUGGAUAUCGAAUGGUUUUGUGAGAUGAUGUUGAGCAGCAAAUGACGAUGGUGAUAGUUCAAAUGGUACAUCAGGGGCUGCUAUAGAUAGUUUCAGAUCAUGGCCAACCUCAUUCAACACGAACAGAUCAUAACUCUGAGCACAUGAACGGCAAGGGGUGAGCGGUCGAAUCUAAUAACAUCCAUACGGGCGGGGUUUCAACUAGGAGGCAUUUGGAGAUUGAAGAUAUAAUAGCACAAUGGCAGAAUAUGAUUUAGUAUUUGGAUUUUGGAGAGAGAGAGAUGAGGAGAGAGAGCUUAAAAAGGGUCGCUGGCCAGAUCAAUAAGAGUGUGAGGAGGUGCUUUUACCUCCAUCGUCACUGCAAUCGCUAAAGCUCGCCAGAUCCAAAACACCCUCAUCGAACACUAGGGUUCAAAAUUGCCUUAAAUCGAAGGCCCAUCGGGAUUACGAAUGAUGAAAUCAGAAAUGCUCUUCAAACGAUGAUAAGUGGAAAUUGAUGAUGGUAGGUUGUAAGGAUGUCGGCAAUCUGCUUAUUGACCGGAGGUGGUUUUCCAGCAGAUAGAGUAAUUCUAAGAAGAAAUAGAGAGAGAGGGGUCGCGCUAGCGGUUACCGGAGGGUGGAGGCAAUCUUUUGCGUAGAUCGGUUUAUCCAAGGAGAGUAUAGAAGACUCAGUACCAUUUGAUGGAUAGUUUUUCAACCUGUUCUCUUCACAGAGCCAUUUAAACCAGCGUUUGUUCCCGAUAGCAACACCAACACUAUUGUCCGCCACCACCAACCUGUGCCACCGAUCACCAUUGUUGUCGUCUCCGGUAGCCGUUGUAAACAACCCAACCCCAUGACCCCUCACCACUACUGCCUACUAUCUCCGUCACCUCCUUCGUAAGCGGGACAAGAAGAGGCAGCCAUGUGGAUACGCUCACAAGCGUAUCCAGUAUAACCGCCAUUUCGUCACCGCCGUGAAUGUAACAGAUGCACUGUCUUUUGUUGAUUGAAGAAUUUUAAUCGAGUACAACUUAGUUGUUUUGAAAAUUAAUCAGGUAAAGUUCACGGAUCAUUGGUGCAUGCGGGCAAGGUGAGAGGCUAAACCCAAAGGUCGCCAAGCAGGACAAGAAGAAGCAGCCUUGCAGACGCGCUCACAAGCGUAUCCAGUACAACUGUCGUUUGUCAUGGCAAUGUUAAUUCUCUCAUUCCUUAAUUUAUUUGUUUUCAAGAUAACACAAUUAGAAUGAGUUACCUGCCCAGCAACCGGCACUAAAACCAAGAGUAAUAACUACCCAGCAACCGGGAUGGAGUGGAAUCUAAAUUUAAUUUUAAAAGUUUUUGGUUCUCCCAUAAUUUGUUAGAAUUAGAAUCCAAAUUUCGUUUGUUUGGUUGAGAAAUGAUAUUGAAAUGUAUUCACUUAAUGGUGA